RNAcentral lists this ribosomal RNA (301 nucleotides) under uncultured bacterium. RNAcentral's name for it is "partial 16S ribosomal RNA". It matches the Rfam family "Bacterial small subunit ribosomal RNA", at positions 509 to 807 of the family's 1533-position model. The record is from RNAcentral.
CAGCAGCCACGGUAAUACGAAGGGUGCAAGCGUUACUCGGAAUUACUGGGCGUAAAGCGUGUGUAGGUGGUUGUUUAAGUCUGUCGUGAAAGCCCUGGGCUCAACCUGGGAAUUGCGAUGGAUACUGGGCGACUAGAGUGCGGUAGAGGAUAGUGGAAUUUCCGGUGUAGCAGUGAAAUGCGUAGAGAUCGGAAGGAACAUCUGUGGCGAAGGCGGCCAUCUGGGACAACACUGACGCUGAGGCACGAAAGCGUGGGGAGCAAACGGGAUUAGAUACCCCUGUAGUCCCUGUCUCUUAUAC